CUACGGGAUGCUCCAGUGGGGAAUAUUGCACAAUGGGCGCAAGCCUAAUGCAUCCAUGCCGCGUGUAUGAAGAAGGCCUUCGGGUUGUAAAGUACUUUCAGCGGGGAGGAAGGGAGUAAAGUUAAUACCUUUGCUCAUUGACGUUACCCGCAGAAGAAGCACCGGCUAACUCCGUGCCAGCAGCCGCGGUAAUACGGAGGGUGCAAGCGUUAAUCGGAAUUACUGGGCGUAAAGCGCACGCAGGCGGUUUGUUAAGUCAGAUGUGAAAUCCCCGGGCUCAACCUGGGAACUGCAUCUGAUACUGGCAAGCUUGAGUCUCGUAGAGGGGGGUAGAAUUCCAGGUGUAGCGGUGAAAUGCGUAGAGAUCUGGAGGAAUACCGGUGGCGAAGGCGGCCCCCUGGACGAAGACUGACGCUCAGGUGCGAAAGCGUGGGGAGCAAACAGGAUUAGAUACCCUAGUAGUC
This 464-nucleotide ribosomal RNA is filed under the name uncultured bacterium. Its description in RNAcentral is "partial 16S ribosomal RNA". It matches the Rfam family "Bacterial small subunit ribosomal RNA", at positions 339 to 795 of the family's 1533-position model. The record is from RNAcentral.